Molecule: ribosomal RNA, 1062 nt
Filed under: Antarctic seawater bacterium COL-70
Lineage: Bacteria
Description: bacterial SSU rRNA
Rfam family: Bacterial small subunit ribosomal RNA
Source: RNAcentral
AGUCGAACGAUGAAGCCGGAGCUUGCUCUGGUGGAUUAGUGGCGAACGGGUGAGUAACACGUGAGUAACCUGCCCUUGACUCUGGAAUAAGCGUUGGAAACGACGUCUAAUACUGGAUACGAGCUUCAGCCGCAUGGCUAGGAGCUGGAAAGAAUUUCGGUCAAGGAUGGACUCGCGGCCUAUCAGGUAGUUGGUGAGGUAAUAGCUCACCAAGCCUACGACGGGUAGCCGGCCUGAGAGGGUGACCGGCCACACUGGAACUGAGACACGGUCCAGACUCCUACGGGAGGCAGCAGUGGGGAAUAUUGCACAAUGGGCGCAAGCCUGAUGCAGCAACGCCGCGUGAGGGACGACGGCCUUCGGGUUGUAAACCUCUUUUAGUAGGGAAGAAGCGAAAGUGACGGUACCUGCAGAAAAAGCACCGGCUAACUACGUGCCAGCAGCCGCGGUAAUACGUAGGGUGCAAGCGUUAUCCGGAAUUAUUGGGCGUAAAGAGCUCGUAGGCGGUUUGUCGCGUCUGCUGUGAAAACUGGGGGCUCAACCCCCAGCGUGCAGUGGGUACGGGCAGACUAGAGUGCGGUAGGGGAGAUUGGAAUUCCUGGUGUAGCGGUGGAAUGCGCAGAUAUCAGGAGGAACACCAAUGGCGAAGGCAGAUCUCUGGGCCGUUACUGACGCUGAGGAGCGAAAGCAUGGGGAGCGAACAGGAUUAGAUACCCUGGUAGUCCAUGCCGUAAACGUUGGGAACUAGAUGUAGGGACCAUUCCACGGUUUCUGUGUCGCAGCUAACGCAUUAAGUUCCCCGCCUGGGGAGUACGGCCGCAAGGCUAAAACUCAAAGGAAUUGACGGGGGCCCGCACAAGCGGCGGAGCAUGCGGAUUAAUUCGAUGCAACGCGAAGAACCUUACCAAGACUUGACAUAUACGAGAACGGGCUAGAAAUAGUCAACUCUUUGGACACUCGUAAACAGGUGGUGCAUGGUUGUCGUCAGCUCGUGUCGUGAGAUGUUGGGUUAAGUCCCGCAACGAGCGCAACCCUCGUUCUUUGUUGCCAGCACGUAAUGGU